GUCGAGCGAAUCUUGAGGNGCUUGCACCUCUUGGUUAGCGGCGGACGGGUGAGUAACACGUGGGCAACCUGCCUGUAAGACUGGGAUAACUUCGGGAAACCGGAGCUAAUACCGGAUAAUCCUUUUCCUCUCAUGAGGAAAAGCUGAAAGUCGGUUUACGCUGACACUUACAGAUGGGCCCGCGGCGCAUUAGCUAGUUGGUGAGGUAACGGCUCACCAAGGCGACGAUGCGUAGCCGACCUGAGAGGGUGAUCGGCCACACUGGGACUGAGACACGGCCCAGACUCCUACGGGAGGCAGCAGUAGGGAAUCUUCCGCAAUGGACGAAAGUCUGACGGAGCAACGCCGCGUGAGCGAUGAAGGCCUUCGGGUCGUAAAGCUCUGUUGUUAGGGAAGAACAAGUACCGGAGUAACUGCCGGUACCUUGACGGUACCUAACCAGAAAGCCACGGCUAACUACGUGCCAGCAGCCGCGGUAAUACGUAGGUGGCAAGCGUUGUCCGGAAUUAUUGGGCGUAAAGCGCGCGCAGGCGGUCCUUUAAGUCUGAUGUGAAAGCCCACGGCUCAACCGUGGAGGGUCAUUGGAAACUGGGGGACUUGAGUACAGAAGAGGAAAGCGGAAUUCCACGUGUAGCGGUGAAAUGCGUAGAGAUGUGGAGGAACACCAGUGGCGAAGGCGGCUUUCUGGUCUGUAACUGACGCUGAGGCGCGAAAGCGU
Molecule: ribosomal RNA, 718 nt
Filed under: Neobacillus niacini
Lineage: Bacteria; Bacillati; Bacillota; Bacilli; Caryophanales; Bacillaceae
Description: bacterial SSU rRNA
Rfam family: Bacterial small subunit ribosomal RNA
Source: RNAcentral